AACUCUUAGCGGUGGAUCACUUGGCUCAUGGAUCGAUGAAGAACGCAGCUAGCUGCGAUAAAUAGUGCGAAUUGCAGACGCAUUGAGCACAAAGAUUUCGAAUGCACAUUGCACCAUUGGGUUGAUUCCCGAUGGUACGUCUGGGUGAGGGGUC
Brugia malayi is the source of this 154-nucleotide non-coding RNA. The record is from Rfam. NCBI's taxonomy places the organism in Eukaryota, Metazoa, Nematoda, Chromadorea, Rhabditida, Onchocercidae.